Molecule: ribosomal RNA, 232 nt
Filed under: uncultured bacterium
Lineage: Bacteria
Description: partial 16S ribosomal RNA
Rfam family: Bacterial small subunit ribosomal RNA
Source: RNAcentral
CGGACGGGUGAGUAAUGUAUGGGGAUCUGCCCGAUGGCGGGGGAUAACUACUGGAAACGGUAGCUAAUACCGCAUAAUGUCUGCGGACCAAAGCGGGGGACCUUAGGGCCUCUUGCCAUCGGAUGUGCCCAGAUGGGAUUAGCUAGUAGGUGGGGUAAAGGCUCACCUAGGCGACGAUCCCUAGCUGGUCUGAGAGGAUGACCAGCCACACUGGAACUGAGACACGGUCCAG